GGUAAUUUACAAUCUCUAGCUAUGUGUCCUAAUUUUCCACAAUUAUAACAAGUACAUUCCGUUAGUUUUCUCUUUGGUCUAUAUGGUCUUUUGGUUUUGUAGUUUUUUACAUAGUAUCUUCUUCUUGGUUUUUUAUAUUUAUAUUUUGAUCUGUAUUUUUUAUUAUAUUUCUUUCUAUAGUAUCUGUCUGUACAACCGAAUUGGGGUGCUGUUUUAUUUUUGCAACAUGCCAAGUUUUUUACUAAUAUUUUUUCCAUUUUUAUUUCUUCUUUAUGUUUUUCACAUAGUUCUAUAAACCAUCGUUGUAAGAAUUUUAUUCUAGCUCCUAAGGUAUCUGUUAAUCCUGCUUCAUUCAAAUUUUUUAUUACUUUUUGAACUAAAAGGUUCGGGUAAUUUAGUAAAAUAUAAUUUUCUUAUUUCUUUACUUUCUUCCGUAUUAUAUGUUCCUUUAUAAUAAUAUUCUCUAAAUACACAUGUAUAUUCAUCUAUAUAACACAUAUUACAUAUUGCU
Molecule: long non-coding RNA, 511 nt
Filed under: Solanum tuberosum (potato)
Lineage: Eukaryota; Viridiplantae; Streptophyta; Magnoliopsida; Solanales; Solanaceae
Description: long non-coding RNA (STUB_LNC001755)
Source: RNAcentral